GGAAACAGAUGCUAAUACCGGAUAACAACACUAGACGCAUGUCUAGAGUUUAAAAGAUGGUUCUGCUAUCACUCUUGGAUGGACCUGCGGUGCAUUAGCUAGUUGGUAGGGUAACGGCCUACCAAGGCGAUGAUGCAUAGCCGAGUUGAGAGACUGAUCGGCCACAUUGGGACUGAGACACGGCCCAAACUCCUACGGGAGGCAGCAGCC
RNAcentral lists this ribosomal RNA (210 nucleotides) under uncultured bacterium. RNAcentral's name for it is "partial 16S ribosomal RNA". It matches the Rfam family "Bacterial small subunit ribosomal RNA", at positions 152 to 355 of the family's 1533-position model. The record is from RNAcentral.